AAUUUAUAAUGAUUCACUGCACAUGGAAUUUCACUCUCUUCAGCGUUCUCCAGAGACCCUUUUAAGCCCAAAGGCCUUUCCUGAUUUUUCGAUAAAGCUUUAAUUUUUCUCUUCAGAUUUUUGGGAUCGUGAAGAACAACACCGUCCGGGAUGUCGAAACGAGGACGAGGAGGUUCCGCCGGGAACAAGUUCAGAAUGUCACUGGGU
This 207-nucleotide unclassified non-coding RNA is filed under the name Hevea brasiliensis (rubber tree). Lineage: Eukaryota; Viridiplantae; Streptophyta; Magnoliopsida; Malpighiales; Euphorbiaceae. The record is from RNAcentral.